GAUGAAGAACGUAGCGAAAUGCGAUAAGUAGUGUGAAUUGCAGAAUUCAGUGAAUCAUCGAAUCUUUGAACGCACAUUGCGCCCUUUGGUAUUCCUUAGGGCAUGCCUGUUCGAGCGUCAUUUAAACCUUCAAGCUCAGCUUGGUGUUGGGUGACUGUCCGCUUCACCGCGGACUCGCCUCAAAAUUAUUGGCGGCCGGUACAUUGGCUCUCGAGCGCAGCAGAAACGCGUAACUCGAGGUCCUCGUGCUGGCUCCCAGAAGCUAUCUUCACAAUUUUGACCUCGGAUCAGGUAGGGAUACCCGCUGAGCUUAAGCAUAUCAAUAAGCGGAGGA
Molecule: unclassified non-coding RNA, 334 nt
Filed under: soil metagenome
Description: partial contains 5.8S ribosomal RNA, internal transcribed spacer 2, and large subunit ribosomal RNA
Rfam family: 5.8S ribosomal RNA (bases 1-120)
Source: RNAcentral